This 157-nucleotide non-coding RNA is filed under the name Clostridium tetani. The record is from RNAcentral. Lineage: Bacteria; Bacillati; Bacillota; Clostridia; Eubacteriales; Clostridiaceae.
UUAUUAGGUGCUGUAAAAGUUAAAAGGGAAAGUGGUGAAAAUCCACUGCAGCCCACCGUUACUGUAAUGCUGACGAAAUCUUAUAAUAACCACUAGAUUUUAUUUGGGAAGGUUAGAAGGUAGGGAGAAGCUAAGCCAGGAAACCUGCCUAAUAAGU